UCUUCAUUCCUCGCACUCUCUCAUCGGUCCGAAUGAGAAGAGAGUGUGUGAAAUGAAGAGA
Molecule: microRNA precursor, 61 nt
Filed under: Pristionchus pacificus
Lineage: Eukaryota; Metazoa; Nematoda; Chromadorea; Rhabditida; Neodiplogasteridae
Description: mir-8364 microRNA precursor family
Rfam family: mir-8364 microRNA precursor family
Source: Rfam by way of RNAcentral